ACUUGUUAAAAAAAAGCCCCAGUGCUCACCAGGUGCUGCUGGGGAGGGGGCAAUCCCUGCUGUCCCCCACUGCCCCACACAGUUGUCCCCCCACUACCCCCCCUAACCUCCCUCCUUGUGCCCCCAGCCCCCACGUGGGUGCCUCACCCAGGCUGGCUCCGGCCCUUUAAGAAAAAAAAAGAACGAAAAAACCCCAGGACUCACUGCUUCUGCCAGUGGGAGGCGAUUCCCACUGCCCCCGUUGCCCCACACCACGUGGGAGGUCUGCACGAGCCCCCAAAGCCCCAAGGCUGCUGCAGGAGUGGUGAGUCCCGGGGCUUUUCUCAGCUUUUUUUACAGCGUGAGCCACUGUGAGGCACCAGGGAUUGCCCCCUUUCCACCGCCCGGCAGCAUCUGGCAGCGAAGUCAUAAGUCCUCUGAAGCAACUCUCUGCAAAUUAUAAUGCUUCAUUGCAUAAGCAAGUAACAGGGGAUGAGUUAUGAAGAACAAAGUUCUUGUUGCACAAGCUUCAAUAAUCCUUAAUUCUGGGAAAGAAAAUGGCCAAUAACUUGUGAAAGGUCCAGCAGCUGCUCUCAGGGGAGAAACACCAGCCACCAGUGGGGAUCCAACUUUAAGAUGCCACCACUGUUGGCCAGCACCCUUCACAUGCACCACCUUCACCAGCAGGACACACAGGACCACACUCCCCUGCUGGACAGGCUGGUCACAGUGGCUGAGGAGAGGCUUGUGGACUCAUGGGCCUGGUGAGCCCAGAACCCAAAGUGGAUGCAGGAGCAGGACCAGGAGGACCGUGCCUUCCAGGACAGGCUCCUCACCCUCCAGGAGAGGCACAUCACCCUCCUCGAGAGGAUGCUUGAGGCCCAGGAGUAGCAGGCUGCCAUAGUGGCCUGAGUUGUAGAUGCAGUGGAGGAGGACCACUGGGUGCUGGACACCAUCCUUGCCUUGGUGGUCAGCUUCAUGCUGCACAGUGACCAACCCUCAGCCGUGAUCCCACCUAGCCCUUGGCAGCCCAGUCCCCAGCUCUGUCCUUGCCUGCCCCCUGGCAGCUGCUCAUGAUCCAGUGCCAAACCCUCAGUGGGCCUUGGACAAGGCACAGCACCACCUGCCCUGCUUCUGAGUUAGGUCCCCCAGUAGCCUAGUCCCCAACCUGGGUCACCUGGGCCACUUGCCCAGCCACCAUGAGCAGCAGCUGCCCAUGGUUGAGCCAACUACAAAACUGCUGGUCCUGGCCCUGUGGUGAAGUAAGGGAAGCAAGCCAAGCAUGCUGGACAGUGCCCAUCCUCACCCCAGUAUGAGCCUCUGGCCUGCCUGGCUUCCAAGGUAAUUCUCCUUGGGCUCCAUGCCAUAUUCACCUCCAUCCCCCUAUACUUCCCUUACAGUUCAGAAAGUGCAUUGUACAUAGUUGCAUGGGAAGCAGGACUUUUAUUGUUGGUGCACGUUGGAGUUAGGGAGGAGUGUGUUGCCAGGAGGGAGAGAGGGAAAGUGCUGUUGAGGAGGGAAGGAGGGAGUCUAUUGUUGAGGAGGGAAGGGAGUCUGUUAUUGUGUGGUGGAGGGAAAUAAAGUUUGAUAUUUGUUGCAAACUGUCCAUAGUGCGCAUGGUCUUGGGUUCCCCUGAGGGCCUGGGGUCCAAAGCCAGCCAACCAGGUGCAGGGGGGGUGGAGAAAGAGGUGGUCUACAAGUGCCUUAUGGACACAGUGCCCUGUCUGUCACUACCAGUGGGUAGGGCAGGGAGCGCCCAUGGUGUGCUGGCCACAGGCUCUCAGGACAGUAUCCCCUGCCAGGAUGAGCCUGCCCCCAGAUCCCUGUCCCAGGCUGAGCCUUCCCCUAGAGCCCCUGGCACUCGAGCAGGUGUAACUGGAGCCUGCAGCUGCCCCCUGGCUGCUGUAGUGGGGGCAGAACAGGGCAGGAGUAGGCUUGGAUCUGCCUAUUCUGAUUGAGAGACAAUCUGAGCCUGACAGUGUAGAAGCAUUCCCUGGCGCAUGUGUAAAUGCAUUCCCAGGGCAAGCAUACUAUGCCUUAUUUUACUGUUCAGUAAGCUUAAAGUACAUUAAUAGCACAUAGAGAUGUGCCCACUGUGAUCUUUUGCAUUCAUUUCUUCCUUUGGAUUUCAUUCCCAUAUAGCACAAGGUUAGUGACAUUCUGUACUAGUGUUUCUGUCUUUUCUGCACCAAUACUGAUUUUUCUGGCAGUGGCAUAUGAAGGAAAUCUUAGCACUGUAUCUUAGGUCAUAUUGUUGCUAGAACUGUGAGACAGGGAAGUGCCAUUUGGCAAAGGAUAUGAAGGUGUGCGACUAUGACCUUGAUAUAGGAAGGAAACCUGCAUAUUUUGUAAUUUUUUUGUGCUGGAACACACCCAAAAGAUAUAAAAGAUUUUGACAUAGAUAAUGUAUGUAAUACCUACUUCGAUUAAAUAAAAUUUAAAAUUAUAAUGCAAAAAUGAAUAUGCAAAUUCACUUUAA
Long non-coding RNA from Alligator mississippiensis (American alligator), 2458 nucleotides. RefSeq lists it as uncharacterized. The record is from RefSeq and is a predicted model, not a curated record. The transcript is spliced from 3 exons. NCBI's taxonomy places the organism in Eukaryota, Metazoa, Chordata, Crocodylia, Alligatoridae.